GCCUACGGGGGGCAGCAGUAGGGAAUCUUCCACAAUGGGCGAAAGCCUGAUGGAGCAACGCCGCGUGGGUGAAGAAGGUCUUCGGAUCGUAAAACCCUGUUGUUAGUGAAGAAAGUGCGUGAGAGUAACUGUUCACGUUUCGACGGUAUCUAACCAGAAAGCCACGGCUAACUACGUGCCAGCAGCCGCGGUAAUACGUAGGUGGCAAGCGUUAUCCGGAUUUAUUGGGCGUAAAGGGAACGCAGGCGGUCUUUUAAGUCUGAUGUGAAAGCCUUCGGCUUAACCGGGGUAGUGCAUUGGAAACU
This 305-nucleotide ribosomal RNA is filed under the name uncultured bacterium. RNAcentral's name for it is "bacterial SSU rRNA". It matches the Rfam family "Bacterial small subunit ribosomal RNA", at positions 337 to 634 of the family's 1533-position model. The record is from RNAcentral.